This 808-nucleotide ribosomal RNA is filed under the name uncultured Gemmatimonadota bacterium. RNAcentral's name for it is "bacterial SSU rRNA". It matches the Rfam family "Bacterial small subunit ribosomal RNA", at positions 89 to 896 of the family's 1533-position model. Lineage: Bacteria; Pseudomonadati; Gemmatimonadota. The record is from RNAcentral.
GGGCAACCGGCGAACGGGUGCGUAACACGUGAGCAAUCUGCCGAUUUCUGGGGGAUAGCCGGCCCAACGGCCGGGUAAUACCGCAUACGUUCUCGAGGGGGAGUCCCCUUGGGAAGAAACCUCCGGGGGAAAUCGAGGAGCUCGCGGCCUAUCAGCUAGUUGGCGGUGUAAUGGACCACCAAGGCUAUGACGGGUAGCUGGUCUGAGAGGAUGGCCAGCCACAUUGGGACUGAGAAACGGCCCAGACUCCUACGGGAGGCAGCAGUGGGGAAUCUUGCGCAAUGGCCGAAAGGCUGACGCAGCGACGCCGCGUGUGGGAUGAAGCAUUUCGGUGUGUAAACCACUGUUGCCCGGGACGAACAUCCUCUUUCGAGAGGACUGACGGUACCGGGUGAGGAAGCACCGGCUAACUCCGUGCCAGCAGCCGCGGUAAUACGGAGGGUGCGAGCGUUGUCCGGAAUCACUGGGCGUAAAGGGCGCGUAGGUGGCCUGUGGAAGUCUGCGGUGAAAGCCCGGCGCUCAACGCCGGGUCGGCCGUGGAUACUCUCGGGCUUGAGCUUACUAGAGGCAGAUGGAAUUCCGGGUGUAGCGGUGGAAUGCGUAGAGAUCCGGAAGAACACCGGUGGCGAAGGCGGUCUGCUGGGGUAAUGCUGACACUGAUGCGCGACAGCGUGGGGAGCAAACAGGAUUAGAUACCCUGGUAGUCCACGCCGUAAACGAUGGGCACUAGGUGCUUGGGGGAGCGACCCCCUGAGUGCCGUCGCUAACGCAUUAAGUGCCCCGCCUGGGGAGUACGGCCGCAAGGCUG